UCAACCUCUAAAAAUACAAGGAAAAGCAAAGAAAUGGGCCCUCCUGUGGGGAGCAAGAAGACUAACUGCAUGUAUCAACAACAAAAUGAAUAACGAUCUAAUUAAAUAUAGUACAACACAAACACUCACUGGGGACUAAGUCUUGUGUGGCAUGGAAUACCGGAGAACAGAGUGGGCAAAGGAAUCCCUAAUUGCUGCCACAGUAUCGCAAGGACCUGUCAUUUCAUAACCAUCGAGAAACACAAUACUCUUUUGUGAAGUGCAUUAGGUACAUCUGUGGCACUAAUCACUGGAGUAUUUGAGCACAUGGAAAUGAUUAAAGAUACAUCAAAAUUACUUCUAGAAGGUAUCCCAAAUCGAAAUAAUACUCUUUCUUUUGUGAACAAAGACUUUCCUUACUCCAGCUCUAGAAGCAUACAAACCCCAUCAUUAAUAUAAUAAAAGCUACUUGUAAGAAUGCACAGCAAACCAGUCUUCUUCUUGCAGCUCUACUUAUAAGACAAC
Molecule: long non-coding RNA, 504 nt
Filed under: Numida meleagris (helmeted guineafowl)
Lineage: Eukaryota; Metazoa; Chordata; Aves; Galliformes; Numididae
Description: lncRNA (ENSNMEG00000017502.1)
Source: RNAcentral